This is a long non-coding RNA of Ostrea edulis (European flat oyster), 1420 nucleotides long. RefSeq lists it as uncharacterized. The transcript is spliced from 3 exons. The record is from RefSeq and is a predicted model, not a curated record. Lineage: Eukaryota; Metazoa; Mollusca; Bivalvia; Ostreida; Ostreidae.
GCCAGUAAUUGUUAUUGUGCUUGUCCAAAUACAUCAUUGUCAUUGUGUGCCUGGAUCUAGAAAUUUUCCUCGGGGAAGUGGGUUCCACCCCAUGUAAUAUUUUUAGGGGCCAAUCAAAGUGAUGGCCUAUCAUUUAGCACUGAACAACUGAAAGUGCUUGAAAAAGUUAGAUAUUAAUUUACUACCCUACUCAGCUGGUGUUGGUUCAGACCCUCAAUCCAACAACAACAACACCACCCCCUUUUAUAACUGCUCUUAACAUGUAGCCCCUACCAACAGAAUUAGAUAUCAAAUUUAAAAGAAAAUGUGGGGGAUGUAAUAAGAAUUGCACAGUAGGAUAUAAUGAAAAUAUGUAAAUAUAAAUGAUAUCUCUGUUUAUGUACUACAUAGUCCAUGUAGAACAAGAGUGAAUGUAAUAUUGAAAUAUAAACUUUCUCUUCCAGAUAUGUUCAAAGCCAGCACUCAGUUAAAUAUACUUCUACUCCUGUGCACAGCCAGGCAGACCCGAAGCCUUUUACGGGAAAAUACAUUAUCUCUAAUAUUUCUGCAGAAUCCAGACAAGCAACCAGUGAUCAAGGAGUGUCAGGUGUUGAAGAGUUCGAGCCAGGCAUGGAACUGACACUAUCUGGAUAGCAAAAAAUAUGAAUCAAAACGAGAAAUGUGUGUGCGUGCUGUGCAUGUGUAAAUAAUUGCAUGUACAUGUACAUGCAAUUAAAGCAUUUAUUUUACAGUAAUAUUAUGAUAUUCUGGUAUUCAAUUUUAUAAUUAAAAAAGAUUUUUAAGAUACCUUUCCAAAGCAAUUUAUAUUUUUAAUUGAUUUCCCUUAUAGAUGAUGUAAAUCUAAUGAAAAUGAUACAAAAAAAAAACUUUUUCUGUACAGUAAGAAAACCAAAGUGUGCAUCAUCCUUUCUGAAUCCAUUUGAAUUGAGUAUUGACAUAUCAGAGGAAUCUGGCACUUUAAAAGGAGAUGAUGAUGAAACAUACUAUCCAAGUUUCAACUUCCACUCAAUUAGAAGAGGAUAAGAAAUCCAGAUUUGAAAAUUGACUCUUAUUCAGAGUGACAUGAACAUAUUUCAAAACUAUAUGACAGUGUCUAUACAAUUUUAAAUUUGCUGUAGGUAGACUGUAGUAAUAUUUUUCUGCUACCAAAGUUUUAAACACAUCAUUGACAUUACUUUAUAGACUGGGUAUAUUUCUUGUAAUUCAAUACAUAGUUUUCAUAUAACAGUAGAAGACAUCAAAGCAUCGAAUUGCCAUGUGUUGAAAAUACAUGUUUUCUCCAAGUAGAAUAUCUAUUGAUCUUAUUACUUAUAAUCUGACAAAUGAUUUUAGGGGCGAGAUCAAAUAUCCAAUGUUUGACACAUAAAUAACAUCUUUAGUGCUAUUGAUACAAAAUUGAAACUAAAUGGAUAGAGCAAGU